GGCGGCGUCCGAGGCGUGCGCGGGUCAGAGGUCGUGCGCCGGCGGGCCCCGCCCCUGCGCGCGGUAGUCGGGCUUCCGAGCGGCGGGCGGUGAGGGUCCCAGGAAACCAGUGAGCAUGGUGCUCAGUAGUUUGGAUAAGACGAUCCAGCUCCAGAAAAACACCGCUAACAUCAGGAAUAUCUGUGUUUUGGCUCAUGUUGACCAUGCUAAGAUACAUGGACAGCAGAUAAAAUGAACAGAUACGAGGGAUCACUGUGAAAUCCAGUGCCAUUUCCCUGCACUAUACCAACAGUGAGUCAGUGGACGUUUUAGAGAAAAACAAUAUUGUAUCUUCCAUAGCCUCUCUCUCUCCCUGAAUUAAUUGCAUGCCUAAGUUUCUUUACUUUGUAUUCCAUGAAUUUCGUUCUGGCCUCCAAGUGCUCUACUGUCAGUCAGGCUGUCCAGGCUCGGAUGUGGAUGGGGGCCUCUGGCUGGCUGGCCGCACGGGAGCGGCAGUCUCGCUGCCCACCUCCACCCCGGAGAUUCAGAGGAAGGUCAGGACUCCCGGGAGCCUGCGGGCGCAGCCCGUGUGUCCCAGUUCCUGGCCACGUCCUCCUGGUCUGUGACUUGUAUUGAAUUUAGAGUCUUGUUUACCUAAGUGUGGGCUGCAUGGUCCCUACAGCUUGUUUCCCCAAAUCAGGUUGUCAUUUUGACAGUAACACCUCUAGAAAUUUAUCUUGACAGGAAUAGUUCAGUCAGAAUGUGAGAUACACAUUCAUUGAUAAUUCACCGAAAAGUUUGUAUUAGUGGAAAAGCAAGUGCCAACCUUAAUGUCUUGUCUUUGAAAAUAGUUAAGUAAACAUAUAUCCAUGCUGUUCAAACUCUUUUCUCUAUAUGUAAUAUAGAGAAAAUAUGUGAAGAGACAAAAACCCAGUUGCAAAAUAAGUACUUGUAAGAUAUGAAUGUGUUUAGGUUAUAAAAAUAUGUAUGUAGAUAAAGAUGUCUGGAAAGGUACAUACCAAAAUCUAAGAUUAGCUAUCUGCAGGAAAUGGAUUAUGUGAAAUGUACAUUUUUAAGAGUAUUUAUUUUUGUAUUGUUUGGAAAUUUUACACAAAAGUAUUUUCAUAAUUAGAAAACAAUAAUAAAGAUGAAUUUCAUUUCAGUAAUGGACUGACCUGUGGUUCAUCCUCCGCUGUGGUGUAUCUCUGGCACUGACACCAAGUGACAUACUGUAUGGGGCAAGACUGCCCCCUUGAGAUUUCAAGAGCUUCGUGGCUUCCAUUUUCCGCACAUGUAUUAGUCUGUUUUCAGUUCAGUUGAAUAUUCCCCAAAGGUCAGUUUUAGUUACUCUCCCUGGACGUUGUCUCCAGUUCUCCUGCCCCCUUUUCUAAACAUUUUAUAAGGUUUACUUAAUGCUGUAUACUCCCAUAAAACUCCUAAGUUGACUUUUGUCUUUCUGAUAUAGUUUUGUAGGGGAAUGGGUAUAGGACCCUGAGAAUUGAAUGGUCAAGUCUAUGUUUGUUGAACUCAUGACCUGUUUCCUACCUACCCCUCUUUGUGCCCCUCCCACAAAGAUACCAUACAUUAAUCUGGUCAUUUCAAGAGUUAGGAAAUACUCCCAACAAUACACAUUCUAUAAAAAGGCCUAAGAGGUUGUAAUAUCUUGGAGUCCAGUAGCCUAGAAUGCAGAUAGAGAUGAGAGAAAUGUAUUCAAAUAGGCUGAGGAGUCUGACGUUUGUGGACUCGCCAGUCUCAGGCUGUCCUGUCAUCCCUGCUCUGUGGCAGUUCUGUGCACCUGUGAGCGAACACUGCUCUUGGCCCAACUCCUGAAGUUCUCACUCUGAUUUGUCUUUUUAAAAUUUUCAAAUGAGUUUACAGAUUUAUAUUAUAGAAAGUUCAGUAUGCUAUACAAAUACAGUUAAACACAAGAAUGAAAAAUUACUACUUGUUUAACCGCCAGUUAUUUUUUCUCAGUUUUUACAUUUAAUCCAGCCAUAAUUGCAUGUGUGUUUUGCACAUAAGCUGUGAGGUAGGUAUCUAACUUAUGUCCCCCCAAGUAGGUAACUCACUCACUCCAGCCUCAGUUAGACGUGAUUAAGUACUGUGUUACUAGUUGUCAACACAGUGUCAAGGCCCACACAUCUGACAUGAGUGAGGCCGUCUGGGGGAACUCUUAGGGCUAGAGAGUGGGUUUUGCUGCCUAUGAGACACACCUCCCUGGAUGGGGGCGAGUGCCAUCAGCUCCGGCUGAUCGGUGCCCUGGAGGAAUCUGUUUUUUCAAGAAAAGUUGACAUCAAGAUUUUUGGUAGGAUUUUCCAGUUUUUAAAAUAUUGAGAGCUUAUUUAAAAAUUAUAAAAUGGUCGAGCACAGUGCAGUGGGCUUUAACUUAGAGGCAUUCAGGCAUGUGGGCCGGCCAUUAUCCGGGCAGUGGAACGCUCAGGGCUCACCCAGGCGGUCGCCGCAGGCAGCUCAGACGUGCCCCCGGUGCUGAGACCGAGGACACGGUGGGGCUUUCUGCAAAGACGUCCAAACGCAGAUUCAUUUCUUUGUGAACAGCUCAGCCAGGUUGAGUGGCUGGCUGUGCUCUGGUGGGGAACUUGCACCCACCUUGGUCUCUCUCGGCCCUGUGGCUCUGCCCCCAGUCCCCCCAGACUGACCUGCGCGGACGCUGACUAAGGCCAUCCAGGCUCACACAAGGCCCACACGCGUCAGGAAGU
This is a non-coding RNA of Manis javanica (Malayan pangolin), 2696 nucleotides long. NCBI's taxonomy places the organism in Eukaryota, Metazoa, Chordata, Mammalia, Pholidota, Manidae. The record is from RefSeq and is a predicted model, not a curated record.